Heterocephalus glaber (naked mole-rat) is the source of this 954-nucleotide non-coding RNA. Lineage: Eukaryota; Metazoa; Chordata; Mammalia; Rodentia; Bathyergidae. The record is from RefSeq and is a predicted model, not a curated record.
CUAAGAGCAGUUUUUUUCCAGUACUGGGGAUUGAACUCAGGACCCUGCACUUGCCAGCCCUGGGCCUAAAGUACCUGUCCAGAGACACAUCCCAGUCUUCAAAGUCUAACUGCUCUUCCGCGCAUCCGACCCAGCUCCAUCUGCUGAACGGGCAGCUCUUCUCUCCAGCUCCCGCUGGCAAGGCCGGCCUCCCCGUCAGCGCCCCUCUGACCUGGGGUCAGGCUGCACACAGCCCCAACACAGGAGGCUGAAAGGUUCGGGUCCAGCAUCUGCAGACAGCAAAGGCCGCACAGACAGAAAGCCAGAGGCCUGGAGGACAGCAAGAGCCCUGGACUGCGACUACAGAUUGUUCUUUUGUUAAUAAACUUCCCGGAAAUGAUCCUUUCCUAAGAUACACGUUUAUUAACCUAUGUAAAAGCUGUUGAGGGAAUCUACAAAAACUGUCAAAAUUCUACAUUCAAAAAGGACACCUUAGCCAGACAUGGUGGUGCAGACUUAUAAUCCUGGCAUUCUGGGAGGCUGAGGCAGGAGGUUCACAAGUUCAAACACAGCCUAGGCAACUUAGUAACUUGGUGAGACCUUGUGUCAAAAUUAAAAAAUGAGCUGGGGAUGUACCUUAGGUUCAGUGCUAAAGCCCUGGGUUUAAUCCUAAUGGCAAAAAAGGGACACCUUUUCAAGGUACCUUUUUAGAACACUUAUUAUCCAUCACUACAGUUCAGUGUGUUCUUUUUGUUUUGUGUGAGUUUUACAGAGUGGGGGGUUAGAAACCACAACUCCAUCUUUCUUCUACUCUGUUCCUCCUCCCCCACCCUAUUUCCAGUCAAUAAAUAACUCAGAAGAAAACAUCUGUCAUGAAAUCACUUUAUUUUUCAAACAAGGCUGGGGGGAUACCACUUAAAAUUUAAUAUCCAAAUAAAAUCAUGAAUACUAAAUCCUAUUAAAACAAAACCUAAA